This 74-nucleotide transfer RNA is filed under the name Actinomycetes bacterium. RNAcentral describes it as "tRNA-Cys". It matches the Rfam family "tRNA". From Rfam's summary of the family: Transfer RNA (tRNA) molecules are approximately 80 nucleotides in length. Their secondary structure includes four short double-helical elements and three loops (D, anti-codon, and T loops). Lineage: Bacteria; Bacillati; Actinomycetota; Actinomycetes. The record is from RNAcentral. RNAcentral also lists the same sequence under 2 other names.
GGCGGCGUGGCCGAGUGGUUAGGCAGGGGCCUGCAAAGCCCUCCACCCCGGUUCGAAUCCGGGCGCCGCCUCCA